Molecule: ribosomal RNA, 429 nt
Filed under: bacterium
Lineage: Bacteria
Description: partial 16S ribosomal RNA
Rfam family: Bacterial small subunit ribosomal RNA
Source: RNAcentral
UGGGGAAUAUUGGACAAUGGGCGCAAGCCUGAUCCAGCAAUGCCGCGUGUGUGAAGAAGGCCUUCGGGUUGUAAAGCACUUUUAUCAGGAGCGAAAUACCACGGGUUAAUACCCUAUGGGGCUGACGGUACCUGAGGAAUAAGCACCGGCUAACUUCGUGCCAGCAGCCGCGGUAAUACGAAGGGUGCAAGCGUUAAUCGGAAUUACUGGGCGUAAAGCGUGCGUAGGUGGUGAUUUAAGUCUGCUGUGAAAUCCCCGGGCUCAACCUGGGAAUGGCAGUGGAUACUGGAUCGCUAGAGUGUGAUAGAGGAUGGUGGAAUUCCCGGUGUAGCGGUGAAAUGCGUAGAGAUCUGGAGGAACAUCAGUGGCGAAGGCGGCCAUCUGGAUCAACACUGACACUGAGGCACGAAAGCGUGGGGAGCAAACAGG